UUAAGAAACCGGGUCGCUACCGGUAAGUCGUCGGACUGAUGUUCCCUGAGUAAGGAAUUGCGUUAAUAAUCUUUGCGUUUAUUGAUGCCCUCUUACAUCACAGCAGAAACGGCGCACC
This 118-nucleotide small RNA is filed under the name Enterobacteria phage Aplg8. RNAcentral describes it as "rnaD". The record is from RNAcentral. Lineage: Duplodnaviria; Heunggongvirae; Uroviricota; Caudoviricetes; Pantevenvirales; Straboviridae.